GUGGGGAAUCUUGCGCAAUGGGCGAAAGCCUGACGCAGCCAUGCAGCGUGAAUGAUGAAGGUCUUAGGAUUGUAAAAUUCUUUCACCGGGGACGAUAAUGACGGUACCCGGAGAAGAAGCCCCGGCUAACUUCGUGCCAGCAGCCGCGGUAAUACGAAGGGGGCUAGCGUUGCUCGGAAUUACUGGGCGUAAAGGGCGCGUAGGCGGACAGUUUAGUCAGAGGUGAAAGCCCAGGGCUCAACCUUGGAAUUGCCUUUGAUACUGGCUGUCUUGAGUACGGGAGAGGUGAGUGGAACUCCGAGUGUAGAGGUGAAAUUCGUAGAUAUUCGGAAGAACACCAGUGGCGAAGGCGACUCACUGGCCCGUUACUGACGCUGAGGCGCGAAAGCGUGGGGAGCAAACAGGAUUAGAAACCCCGGUAGUCC
This 425-nucleotide ribosomal RNA is filed under the name uncultured bacterium. RNAcentral describes it as "partial 16S ribosomal RNA". It matches the Rfam family "Bacterial small subunit ribosomal RNA", at positions 354 to 796 of the family's 1533-position model. The record is from RNAcentral.